Molecule: long non-coding RNA, 386 nt
Organism: Xenia sp. Carnegie-2017
Lineage: Eukaryota; Metazoa; Cnidaria; Anthozoa; Malacalcyonacea; Xeniidae
Exons: 4
Source: RefSeq, a predicted model, not a curated record
GUUUGGUAGUUGUUGCAGUCAGCAUUCACACCUUGGACGAUUUUUCAGCACUAAAUAUGGGGAAAGAAUUUCGUAUUCGCUGUUCCUAAUCCAAAGCAUUUUAAAAGAUGCUGACCAAAGUCCUGGUGUUGAUUUAAAAAUAAUGUAUGAUAUUGGAUGUGUAUUAUCAUCACAUUUAAAGGCAAACAAGAGGCAUGACAUUUUGUCAAAAGUCUCAAUUUCGGUGCCGAUAUUUCAUUUUUAUGGACACAAGGCUUCAUGCCAGGUCAAAUUCAGUCCUAGAAGGCUCGAUGGUUUUGGUCUUACAGAUGGUGAGGCUAUUGAAAGGCUCUGGGCUUACCUUCGUAGGUUCUCUGCAAUUACUAAGGAGAUGUCUGCCAGUAGAA